CAUGGGUUAAAGGGUUUCCUGCCCGUAACUGAGAAAGCUUAGACUUCGGUCUUUGCAAUUGCUUGGGUGUCGAAAGGCGCCCAAUCUUUAAAACUUUUAUAUUUGUUCUGAAACAAUGAAAAUUUAAAACUUUCAACAACGGAUCUCUUGGUUCUCGUAUCGAUGAAGAACGCAGCAAAGCGCGAUAGGUAAUGCGAAUUGCAGACGUGAGUCAUUGAAUUUUUGAACGCAUAUUGCGCUAUUAGUUUGUCUAAUAGCAUGCUUGUUGGAGUGAUAAUCUUCCUCUCAACCAUUUUUGGUAUGAGGUCUUGCUCCUUUUAGGAGUUAAAAUCAUGGAAGUGCACACGUUAAUUAACUCUGUGCAGUUAUACACUUUUCAUCCUCCAAUCAAGCAAGGUUACCCGCUGAACUUAAGCAUAUCAAUAAGCGGAGGAA
This 435-nucleotide ribosomal RNA is filed under the name Starmerella bacillaris. RNAcentral describes it as "eukaryotic LSU rRNA". The stretch from base 128 to 276 matches the Rfam family "5.8S ribosomal RNA". Lineage: Eukaryota; Fungi; Ascomycota; Dipodascomycetes; Dipodascales; Trichomonascaceae. The record is from RNAcentral.